Molecule: ribosomal RNA, 497 nt
Filed under: uncultured bacterium
Lineage: Bacteria
Description: partial 16S ribosomal RNA
Rfam family: Bacterial small subunit ribosomal RNA
Source: RNAcentral
GAUGAACGCUGGCGGCGUGCCUAAUACAUGCCAGUCGAGCGAACAGACGAGGAGCUUGCUCCUCUGACGUUAGCGGCGGACGGGUGAGUAACACGUGGAUAUCCUACCUAUAAGACUGGGAUAACUUCGGGAAACCGGAGCUAAUACCGGAUAAUAUAUUGAACCGCAUGGUUCAAUAGUGAAAGACGGUUUUGCUGUCACUUAUAGAUGGAUCCGCGCCGCAUUAGCUAGUUGGUAAGGUAACGGCUUACCAAGGCGACGAUGCGUAGCCGACCUGAGAGGGUGAUCGGCCACACUGGAACUGAGACACGGUCCAGACUCCUACGGGAGGCAGCAGUAGGGAAUCUUCCGCAAUGGGCGAAAGCUUGACGGAGCAACGCCGCGUGAGUGAUGAAGGUCUUCGGAUCGUAAAACUCUGUUAUUAGGGAAGAACAAAUGUGUAAGUAACUAUGCACGUCUUGACGGUACCUAAUCAGAAAGCCACGGCUAACUACGUG